UGCACUAUCCUCCCAGGGGACCUGCCCUUAUUCGAUGAUCCACGAAUCUCUUACCUUUCCUUGUUUAAGCAUGCCCUGAUUGGGGCAUGUUUCUAUCAGUUUGCAUACCGCCGUUUUCAGCUUGUAUCGCGAGAUAAAAGAAACAGGCUAAUCAGCACUGUGAGCAUGGCCUGCUGGUGACAGGCAGGUGAUGGCACUGCUAGGAAUUCAGGUAAACGUGUAGCCAAUGGAAAGGGGGCGCUGGGUUACAAUUGAGGUUUGAAGUGGAUGGCAGCCCGAAGGGGCUGUUUGAAAGCGUACUUGGAAGUAAUGGCUUUGGGCAAUGAAGCGUGAAUGGGGCUCUGGUGUGUGUACAAAUCGCCCG
Molecule: ribosomal RNA, 364 nt
Filed under: Nipponacmea fuscoviridis
Lineage: Eukaryota; Metazoa; Mollusca; Gastropoda; Lottiidae
Description: partial 12S ribosomal RNA
Source: RNAcentral